This is a long non-coding RNA of Eriocheir sinensis (Chinese mitten crab), 704 nucleotides long. RefSeq lists it as uncharacterized. The transcript has 3 exons. NCBI's taxonomy places the organism in Eukaryota, Metazoa, Arthropoda, Malacostraca, Decapoda, Varunidae. The record is from RefSeq and is a predicted model, not a curated record.
CACAACGAAAUAAAAGGUUUUCAUCGCUUACAAUACAGGAACACUUGAACACAACGAAAUAAAAGGUUUUCAUCGCUUACAAUACAGGAACACUUGAACACAACGAAAUAAAAGGUUUUCAUCGCUUACAAUACAGGAACACUUGAACACAACGAAAUAAAAGGUUUUCAUCGCUUACAAUACAGGAACACUUGAACACAACGAAAUAAAAGGUUUUCAUCGCUUACAAUACAGGAACACUUGAACACAACGAAAUAAAAGGUUUUCAUCGCUUACAAUACAGGAACACUUGAACACAACGAAAUAAAAGGUUUUCAUCGCUUACAAUACAGGAACACUUGAACACAACGAAAUAAAAGGUUUUCAUCGCUUACAAUACAGGAACACUUGAACACAACGAAAUAAAAGGUUUUCAUCGCUUACAAUACAGGAACACUUGAACACAACGAAAUAAAAGGUUUUCAUCGCUUACAAUACAGGAACACUUGAACACAACGAAAUAAAAGGUUUUCAUCGCUUACAAUACAGGAACACUUGAACACAACGAAAUAAAAGGUUUUCAUCGCUUACAAUACAGGAACACUUGAACACAACGAAAUAAAAGGUUUUCAUCGCUUACAAUACAGGAACACUUGAACACAACGAAAUAAAAGGUUUUCAUCGCUUACAAUACAGGAACACUUGAACACAACGAAAUAAAAGGU